AGUGAACGCUGGCGGUAGGCCUAACACAUGCAAGUCGAACGGCAGCACAUUAAGAGCUUGCUCUUACGGGUGGCGAGUGGCGGACGGGUGAGGAAUACAGCGGAAUCUACUUUUUCGUGGGGGAUAACGUAGGGAAACUGACGCUAAUACCGCAAACGACCUACGAGUGAAAGCAGGGGAGCUUCGGACCAUGCGCGAUUGAAUAAGCCGAUCUCGGAUUAGCUAGUUGGCUGGGUAAAGGCCCACCAAGGCGACGAUCCGUAGCUGGUCUGAGAGGAUGAUCAGCCACACUGGACCUGAGACACGGUCCAGACUCCUACGGGAGGCAGCAGUGGGGAAUAUUGGACAAUGGGCGCAAGCCUGAUCCAGCCCUACCGCGUGGGUGAAGAAGGCCUUCGGGUUGUAAAGCCCUUUUGUUGGGAAAGAAAAGCAGCAGGUUAAUACCCCGCUGUUCUGACGGUACCCAAAGAAUAAGCACCGGCUAACUUCGUG
RNAcentral lists this ribosomal RNA (492 nucleotides) under uncultured bacterium. RNAcentral's name for it is "partial 16S ribosomal RNA". It matches the Rfam family "Bacterial small subunit ribosomal RNA", at positions 29 to 507 of the family's 1533-position model. The record is from RNAcentral.